This is a non-coding RNA of Pelobates cultripes (western spadefoot toad), 223 nucleotides long. The record is from the annotation of a GenBank genome assembly. Lineage: Eukaryota; Metazoa; Chordata; Amphibia; Anura; Pelobatidae.
GUAUAUUCUAAUACUGUUUUUUAUGCAUACAGUAGCUCAUUAGUUAUCUGAAUAUGAAAGAGGGCUAUACCAAGCUAAUAAUCCAUUUUAAAACUGAGAUCUAUGCAAGACCAGUUAUUCACUAGUCAUAUGUAUUCCAUGUACUAAUUUUCACUUGGUGGAAAUAUAUUCCAACCUAUCUUUCACUGCUAUUUCAAUAAGCUACUUUCUGAUAUUUUGUCAC